UACGGAGGGUGCAAGCGUUGUUCGGAAUCACUGGGCGUAAAGCGCGUGUAGGCGGCCUCGUAAGUCUGGUGUGAAAGCCCGGGGCUUACCCCCGGAAGUGCACUGGAAACUGCAAGGCUUGAGUACCGGAGAGGAGGGUGGAAUUCCUGGUGUAGCGGUGAAAUGCGUAGAUAUCAGGAGGAACACCGGUGGCGAAGGCGGGUCUCUGGGCCGAUACUGACGCUGAGGAGCGAAAGCGUGGGGAGCGAACAGG
Molecule: ribosomal RNA, 253 nt
Filed under: uncultured bacterium
Lineage: Bacteria
Description: partial 16S ribosomal RNA
Rfam family: Bacterial small subunit ribosomal RNA
Source: RNAcentral